This 773-nucleotide ribosomal RNA is filed under the name uncultured Neocallimastigales. Its description in RNAcentral is "partial large subunit ribosomal RNA". It matches the Rfam family "Eukaryotic large subunit ribosomal RNA", at positions 24 to 643 of the family's 3401-position model. The record is from RNAcentral. Lineage: Eukaryota; Fungi; Neocallimastigomycota; Neocallimastigomycetes; Neocallimastigales.
UAUGUGAUCGUCUCUCGCAUAUCAAUAAGCGGAGGAAAAGAAACUAACAAGGAUUCCCCUAGUAACGGCGAGUGAAGCGGGAAGAGCUCAAAUUUGAAAUCUUAAAGGGUUUCCCUUUACGAAUUGUAGUUUAAAGAAGUGUUUUCUGUUGAGGUUUUGGUAAAAGUUCUUUGGAAUAGGACAUCAUAGAGGGUGAGAAUCCCGUAUUUGACCUUUACUUUCAACUUUGUGAUACACUUUCAAAGAGUCGGAUUGUUUGGGAAUGCAGUCCAAAAUGGGUGGUAAAUUUCAUCUAAAGCUAAAUAUUGGCGAGAGACCGAUAGCGAACAAGUACCGUGAGGGAAAGAUGAAAAGAACUUUGAAAAGAGAGUUAAACAGUACGUGAAAUUGUCAAAAGGGAAGCGUUUGACACCAGUGUUGUUUUUCUGAAAAUCAAUUAAAGAACUGUUUAUGCUAAGCUGUUUAGACUUUAUCAGCUACUGUUUAGUUUUGAGCUUUUCUUUAAUGCACUUUUCAGUUAACAAGUCAACAUCAAUUUCUUUUGCUGUAAAAAAGCUUGAGGAAGGUGGCUUGAGAUUCGUCUUAAGUGUUUAUAGCCCCUUGCCUAUGCAGUCGGAGAGAUUGAGGUCUGCAGCGUAGAUCCUUCGGGGCUAAAUGCAUUUGUGCUAAGUUAUAGCAUUUUAUAGACAACUUGUUGACUAUGAUUUGUCUUGUAGCUUACUCGCUUAUGUUAUUUUACCUACGCUUAGGAUGUUGAUAUCGCGCUCUCACUG